GCGCUGAGGCAGCGCCCGGGCAGGGCGGGGAGCGGGGCCGCCCCCCGCGCCGGGACCGCCCCUGCCCCGGCAGCCGCAACGCCUCUGGGCACGGGAACGGCCCGAGCCCUGAGGCGGCCCUCACGGGGGGGCCUCAGCAGCAGCCCGAAAUGCCAGCGAUUCCACCCAAAAUGGCUGAGGCGGCUCGGGCUGGGAGGGGAAGGAGCCGAGCUGCCCCCAGGCACCGCAUGGGCCGGCCAAGGGCGGCUCUGCUCCAGCCCUGCAGGCGCAGCAGCAGCAUGAAGGGGCUGUUGGAACUGCAAGCCCUGCCAUGGAGACCGCGUCUCCGCCAGCUGCUGUCGGUUUCUGGCUCUCCGCUUGUUUGCUCACCCAGUGGAUAAACCAGAAGGGUGCCUGCGUGCUUCACUCGCAUGCAGUGUCGAAAAGCUGUUUCCUAUAAAGGCAGAACCCUGAAUAGAAACAGAAUCACAGAAGCAUCUAGGUUGGAAGAGACCUCAAGAUCAUCGAGUCCAACCUCUGACCUAACGCUAACAGUCCCCACUAAACCAUAUCCCUAAGCUCUACAUCUAAACGUCCAUCAGGAAGUUCAGUGUGGCACCCGCUGCAGCCUGGAAGGAGGUAGAAUAUAUAGAGAGAAAAGAGAAAGGAGCACCUAAGUGAGGGAGACACGAAGCUCUGACUUGCUAAGCCAGCCCCAAAUCCCAGUGUUGGUCCUCUACAAGGUGGUGUGAACUCAUGCAGAAGGAUGCAGGUUAUCCCGCCUCGAGGUACUGCAGAAUUGGAAGGAUGGAUCAUUAAGAGUGUGGAAAGGUGCACGUCUGAGCAGAGAGUGGGAAAAAACUUCACCUAAGAAAACAGAGACAAGGAGUUUAAAAAGUCUCAAAACGGUUGGUGAUGGAAGACACCUUUGGAGAUCAUCUUGCCCAGCCCCUCUGCCUAGAGCUGUGCCAGCUACAGCAGGUUUCUCAAGGCCAUGGUCAGGCUUAUUCCUGCCCUGGCUGAUGUUUUAGCUGCUGAAAGUCUCUGCUGAACCUAGACCUCAAGGGACUGCCUGGGGGUUAAAUGCUAAGCAGCUUAAUGACCGUUCACAGUCAGCCUGCAGAAGCUGGAGAGGAGGAUGGCAGUAAAAACCCCAAGAGCUCAAAUGUCAAGGAGCACUUCUGCUUUCAGGACACUUCUCUGAGCUGUGCCGUGUCUUUGUUGCAGCCAGCAUGGAACAGCACUGAAGUCCACAGGACCACUUAUCUUGGAAAUAAGAACAUGACCCACAUUCUGCCCUGUUAUUCAGGAAGAAAUCUCACUAGGAAGCCUACUGAAAUCAAUAAACUUCUUCCAGAUUUACACAGAGAUAACAGGGAUUAGAAUUUCUUCCCGUAGCAUAUGUUUUCAGCAAUGACAAUAUGGAUAGUCUCAUAUACAAAUAUCUGACUUGCUAAAGUGAAGUUCAGCAAUGCCAGGUGUGUUAUUUUGGUAUUUAAGUGUUUUAGAAGCAGGGUAAUUAUUUAGCCCAUUGCAUUCAAAAUGUUUCCGUGCCCUUGUGCUUCCCAACAACAACUUAGUAAGGUGCAGAGAUCCUUUGCAAGGCAGCAAGCUCCUGCAAAUACAGAACCCCAAAACCACUGGAGUAGGAAGAGCUGUAUCUUGCAUGUUGUGGUAAUGACUAUAAUUGAGGCACUGCCAUCAUUAUUUUUUUUUUUUUGCCUUUACUUACAUUUUUGAAUGGGUUAUUACUAAAUAUUAUGGACAGUACAAUAUUACAGCAAGACUGGAGGUGGCAAUCACUGUGGAUCUUUUCAAUAUCAAUUUAAUUUAAGCAAGAAAUCUAACUUGCAUGGAAUAUUGUAUUAUUUUUCUAGAAACACAGACCUUCUGCCAUGGAUUUGCAGAAUCCAACUGCAAGAAUGCCUUCCCCUGAAAAUUAUCGUUUUAAUUGUGUUCCAGUGACUUAAUAUUUACGCAUUUAGAAAGUAAGUGCUGUGGCAUUUCAAAAGGCUCCUGUGAAUGGCAAGCUGACAAGUGCUUGCAUAUCAUUCCAAGCAGAACUACUUCAUAUUGUUCUGCUGACUAUAACAGCUAUAAUUACUCUUUUAUUCAAAAUGCUCAACAUGUUUCAAGAUACAAUACAAAAUCUUCCCAUAGUGUUCUUAGGAGUCUGCUUUCCACUGAAGAGUAGAUCCUGAAGCAGUGGAACAUGUAAAUUAACACUAUGCCAAGAGCUGCCCCAAAUAAACAUCACCCCGUUGUUUGCAGUUAAUUUGGCUCAGUCUGACAACACUCAGCUAUCAGCCUGCUGUGUACUGACCUUACAGAGAGCGAGGUAGCAGUGCAACAAGCUGUUGACUGUGCUUAGACAAACAAAGUUAUCUAUCAUACUGGGCUCUUGCUUGCUUUUUUCAGCGUGCUUACUGUAGGUCUGUGUUUACCUACUGGUAAACCCGAGCAUUUAGUCACUCUACUCGUUGUUUCUUUGUUCCAGUUUGUGCUUGGAGAAAACCAAUGCUCUAAAACCUCUUUGGUGUUUUAAAGUCACUCAGAAGCUCACAGGGAGUUCAUCCCUGAAACUGGUGUAAAUAUUACUGCUUGCUUCACAGAGCCAAGAAUUUCAUUUCUGGUCUGUUGAUUUCCUGUUAAAGGCUCAUUACAAGUUUCUGCUGCUUGCAUUAGCGUUAGAAAAAUACUUAAUUGUUUCUGCUUAAAAACAGUCACCCCGUGUAAAUCAAGCAUAGGAACACAAAUCGUAUAGACUAACAUUUUUCAGAAAUAAAUUUGUAACCAGGCUUUUAGAUCAAUUUAACAUAGAAUAAAAAUCUCAUACAAACACAACGAUGGAGCCAUCUCUUCAAUGUCAGAGCUGCCCAUUCAGGCUGCAAAUGUGAGCCAUAGAAUAUUUUUCUGAAAUGAAUUUCUGCUAUUACUUACACUAACAAUUACACUCCUAUGAUUAUAACUCAGUAAAGUUGCAAAAAAACAAACAAACAAACAAAAAACACUUGUGGAGGAGGGAGCCAAUAGAUGGUUUGAAAUUAAAAGGAAUGAAAGAACGUAAAACAUAAAUGCUGUUUCCUCAACAAUUCAAACAUGUUGCACCCAUAUUUUGAAUACUGAGCACAGUCCUUGUCCUUCCAUUCCCAGAAGGACAUUGCAGACUAGAAAAGAUACAGAAAGGGAAACAAAAGCAAAAGUAUAGAAUGUUUUCUAAGGAAAAUAUAUACACAGGCUUCUUCAACAUGGAAAAAAAGAGAGCUGAGGCUGGCACAAGAACAAGGUUUGCUAACUGUAAUUGCUAUGGAAAAGAUGAGUGGGGAAGGAGUGCGUACUUUAAGCUGCUUCUAGUGCUGGGGAGAUACUGGUGGCACUGCUUGCCUUGGGAUACGAUGAAUGCUACCUAAAAUCUUACUCACGUUCAAAAGCUGGUUAGAGAAAUGACAGGAGAAUCCACAAAGCUGCUGCCUCUGGUUCAGAAGUGCCUAAGGGGCAAAUCACUGGAAGCUAAAAACAUUACAGCAUGCCAUGAGCAGUCCAGCACACACCUUCUGCCACUGUGCGCUUUCCACUCAUCUGCUCUGGGCACCGCUGGUGACAGAGGGGACUCGGUGCAUCCCUGGGCAAAACACUGCAUAGCCUCCUUGCAACCACUUCCCACCAGUUGUUCAGGUAAAGAAACUUAUUUCCAAUUCCCUGAAGAACCUCAAAGCACCUUACAAACUGUGAGACAAACCCUCACCAGCCUGCCAAAGCUAGUAUUUCAUUCCCAGGCACGUACAAUUCCCCUCCUUGGGCAAGCCCUGUCAGUAGAAAGUGUAAGAAAGGAUCAUUUUGGCACAUCACUCCAAGAUGUUUACUUGCACACCAAAGAACCACACCAAGAGAUUUUUGCUCUGUCAUAACAGAAGAGAAAUAUUUGAUUUGAAAGAUGCUAGAUCUUUUUCUGAUCUGUCUCUGGAAGUCUGAUUAAGAAAAAAAAAUAAUCUUUGACGUAUCGCAAAGGCCUCACUGAAUCCUGAAAACAGUGAGAGACAGCUGUGAAAAAUGUAUAUAUCUGAGACUGAUUUCAUGCCCUUCUCAGAGCAUGUCAUAGCGAAGCAAAGUGCAGAAUUCUUCCUAUCUCACUGUAAAACAAAACAAAACUCCAAACCAGCAAGAACAACAAACCAAAUUUGCUCAUUUUCCCCUCUACAAAAAAUGUUGCUUUAAUAUUUGAAAAAUGGGUUGAGUCCUGAUAGAAAUGAGUCAUUGCAAGUAGAUGUCUAAAAAUUGUUCACCACUGUCAAUAGCAUAUUAAUAUUUCAAUUAUUUUAUUCAAGUGCAUCAAACACUUAUUUGUAUACUCCAAUGCUUUUCAGUGGCCUGUCCAUUUUAAAACCUGUCUACUUUAAGCUCAGUAUUUUGUAUUCUUGCCACACUAAGCAAUCCAGGUGGGUGCUUAAGACGCUAAAAAGCUUUCAAAAAUACCAAGUUUCAUUAAUUUCUGUGCUCCCCAUUUAUCACUGCCAGGCUGCAAAAAGGAACAGGAGCAAAAGAAAAAGUGUAUGGCACAGAAGAUCUAAGGGUUGCUUGCAAGUUUUUCCCCCCUCCUCCCCAAAUCUACCACAGCUAUAAAAGUGAAUUAAGUGGCCUGAUUACCUUCUAGAGAUACAGUAAUCUAUUUAGCAAAUUAAAAUGAUACACACCUAAU
Long non-coding RNA from Anas platyrhynchos (mallard), 4675 nucleotides. RefSeq lists it as uncharacterized. NCBI's taxonomy places the organism in Eukaryota, Metazoa, Chordata, Aves, Anseriformes, Anatidae. The record is from RefSeq and is a predicted model, not a curated record.